GCUAUAUGCUUGUUGUGUGGGCACGAGGAGGAGACGCUGUUACAUUCUUUGGUACAGUGUGUCCAUGCUACAACAUACUGGGCAGAGGCGGAGAAAUUUUUUGGUAUCACAUUACCGCGGCUGUUCCCGGGAACUUGGACUAGAGACUUGCUAGAUCCUCAGUUUUUGUCUAGAGACAAAGCAGCAAUUGCAAUAACAGUGAUGUGGGCAGUAUGGAAUAGUAGGAAUAAAUACUCGCAUGGCGAGGUGCAGUACCAGCCCAUGCGCUCAAUGGAACUGGUUCAGGAGAUGAUCAGAGCCCUUGCUGUUCCAGGCAAGGAAAAUGAUGCAGUACCCAAGCGGGCUGUGUGGCGGCCACCUGCUGUAGGGGUUGUCAAGCUGAAUACAGACACAGCGGUGGACAGGGGCGGAUCUGGGCCCCAGGCCCCCAGGGCCCAGGCCCGGGGCGUGGCUUUUUUUUUAGUUAUUACCUAG
RNAcentral lists this ribosomal RNA (474 nucleotides) under Triticum aestivum (bread wheat). RNAcentral describes it as "partial small subunit ribosomal RNA". The record is from RNAcentral. Lineage: Eukaryota; Viridiplantae; Streptophyta; Magnoliopsida; Poales; Poaceae.